AUGGCCACGCUGUCUGAUGAGGAUAAAGAUGUUAUGAAAAAAUGGGGCGCUCCAAACAAGAUUGACUUCCUCUCUCUUUCUUAUACAAGGCAUGCAGAAGAUGUGCAGCAAGCACGGGAGAUCCUCUCUAAAGCACCAGCAGCAGCCAAGAAGAUUGAAGAAUCCAAUGAAAGUUCUGAUUCUGAAAGCUCUGACUCUGAGAAGCCAGCUACUGAAGUGAAGAAUUCUGCGGUUGCUACUGCACAAAAGAAAAACCAGGAAUUGGACGGCUCUGACAGUGAUUCUGAUGAUUCAUCAGAAGAUAUGGCCACUAAAAAACCAGUGGCCAAGAAAGUGGUAGAAUCCAGUGAAAGUUCUGAUUCUGACUCUGAGGAGGAUACCACUGCUAAACCAGUUCAAUCUUCCAAGGCUGUUGCUGUUAAAAAGAAAUAA
RNAcentral lists this ribosomal RNA (432 nucleotides) under Triticum aestivum (bread wheat). RNAcentral describes it as "partial small subunit ribosomal RNA". Lineage: Eukaryota; Viridiplantae; Streptophyta; Magnoliopsida; Poales; Poaceae. The record is from RNAcentral.